AUCCUCCAGAUACCUUACCCAGCAGAUCUAAACAUUGGUCUGAGGGCUAUAAAGGAGGAAAAGUAAACUGAAACAGACUGGGAUUCUUUUGUGACAUACAAGUUGGUUUCAAGCAAAC
RNAcentral lists this small nucleolar RNA (118 nucleotides) under Echinops telfairi (small Madagascar hedgehog). Its description in RNAcentral is "Small nucleolar RNA SNORA61 (ENSETEG00000023627.1)". The record is from RNAcentral. Lineage: Eukaryota; Metazoa; Chordata; Mammalia; Afrosoricida; Tenrecidae.